This is a non-coding RNA of Acanthosepion pharaonis, 82 nucleotides long. The record is from the annotation of a GenBank genome assembly. NCBI's taxonomy places the organism in Eukaryota, Metazoa, Mollusca, Cephalopoda, Sepiida, Sepiidae.
UUACGGCCCUAUCACGUUGAAACACCGGUUCUCAUACGAUCACCGAAGUUAAGCAAUGUCAAGCCUGGUCAGUACUGUGUUG